UAGUCUGGUGCCAGCAGCCGCGGUAAUUCCAGCUCCAAUAGCGUAUAUUAAAGUUGUUGCAGUUAAAACGCUCGUAGUCGGAUUUCGGGGCAGGUUUGCCGGUCUGCCGAUGGGUAUGCACUGGUAGAACUGUCCUUCCUUCCGGAGACGGCGCCUACUCUUAACUGAGCGGGUGUCGGAGACGGAUCGUUUACUUUGAAAAAAUCAGAGUGUUUCAAGCAGGCAGCUCGCUUUUGCAUGGAUUAGCAUGGGAUAAUGAAAUAGGACUUUGGUGCUAUUUUGUUGGUUUCGAACACCGAAGUAAUGAUUAACGGGGACAGUCAGGGGCACUCGUAUUCCGCCGAGAGAGGUGAAAUUCUUAGACCAGCGGAAGACGAACCACUGCGAAAGCAUUUGCCAGGGAUGUUUUCACUGAUCAAGAACGAAAGUUAGGGGAUCGAAGACGAUCAGAUACCGUCGUAGUCUUAACCAUAAACCAUGCCGACUAGGGAUUGGAGGAUGUUCCUAUGUGACUCCUUCAGCACCUUUCGGGAAACUAAAGUCUUUGGGUUCCGGGGGGAGUAUGGUCGCAAGGCUGAAACUUAAAGGAAUUGACGGAAGGGCACCACCAGGAGUGGAGCCUGCGGCUUAAUUUGACUCAACACGGGGAAACUUACCAGGUCCAGACAUUGUGAGGAUUGACAGAUUGAGAGCUCUUUCUUGAUUCGAUGGGUGGUGGUGCAUGGCCGUUCUU
RNAcentral lists this ribosomal RNA (733 nucleotides) under uncultured eukaryote. RNAcentral's name for it is "SSU rRNA". It matches the Rfam family "Eukaryotic small subunit ribosomal RNA", at positions 557 to 1295 of the family's 1831-position model. The record is from RNAcentral.